RNAcentral lists this non-coding RNA (757 nucleotides) under Melanotus villosus. The record is from RNAcentral. Lineage: Eukaryota; Metazoa; Arthropoda; Insecta; Coleoptera; Elateridae.
UAAAAGUUUUAUUCUAGCUUAGGAUUUAGGUUUAUUUUUUUUUUACAUGCAAAAUUAAUUUGGUUUAAAUAACUUGUUAAGCAGUUUUUUAUUUUAAGUAUAAAUUUACUUUGGACUUAGGAAUAAAUAUAAGUUUUAAUGAAAUUUGUGCCAGCAAUUGCGGUUAUACAAAUAGUGCAAUCUAAAUUUUUUGGUUAAUAAUUAAUUGAUAUUAGUUAAAGUUUAAUAUUAGAUUUAUUGGGUGGAAUUUUAUAUUUAAUAAAAAUUUUUUCUUUGAUUAUGAGGUUAUUAAAAUUUUCUUUAAACUAGGAUUAGAUACCCUAUUAUUUAAAUUGUAAAUUCUUGUACCUGAUUAUUAAUAGUUUAUUUUCUUGAAAGUUAAAGAUUUUGGCGGUAUUUUAGUCCAUUCAGAGGAACCUGUCCUGUAAUUGAUAAUCCACGAUUUAAUUUACUUGUUUUUUUAGUUUGUAUAUCGUCGUGGUUUGAAUAUUUUAUAAGAAUUAUAAUAUUCAAUAAAUAUUAAUUUAUUUUAUAUCAGAUCAAGGUGCAGCUUAUGAAUAAGAAGAGAUGGGUUAUAAUAAAUUUAUUUUUGGUUUAUAAACUUAAAUGUUUGUAAUAAUUUGGAUUUGAAUGUAAUAUUUUUAAAUUUAUAGAUGUGAUUUUGGCUCUAAAAUAUGUACAUAUUGCCCGUCGCUCUCGUUUAAUACGAGAUAAGUCGUAACAAAGUAGAUGUACUGGAAAGUGUAUCUAGAAAGAU